Molecule: ribosomal RNA, 443 nt
Filed under: uncultured bacterium
Lineage: Bacteria
Description: bacterial SSU rRNA
Rfam family: Bacterial small subunit ribosomal RNA
Source: RNAcentral
UAGGGAAUAUUGGACAAUGGGCGAGAGCCUGAUCCAGCCAUGCCGCGUGCAGGAAGAAGGCCUUCUGGGUUGUAAACUGCUUUUGCCAGGGGAUAAAAAGUCCCUGCGGGGAAAAUUGAAGGUACCUGGUGAAUAAGCCACGGCUAACUACGUGCCAGCAGCCGCGGUAAUACGUAGGUGGCAAGCGUUGUCCGGAUUUAUUGGGUUUAAAGGGUGCGUAGGCGGUUCAAUAAGUCAGUGGUGAAAUACGGCAGCUCAACUGUCGAGGUGCCAUUGAUACUGUAGAACUUGAGUACAGACGAGGUAGGCGGAAUUGACGGUGUAGCGGUGAAAUGCUUAGAUAUCGUCAAGAACACCGAUAGCGAAGGCAGCUUACUAGGCUGUAACUGACGCUGAGGCACGAAAGUGUGGGGAUCAAACAGGAUUAGAUACCCGCGUAGUCC